GUCUAUGGCUAUGCUACCCUGAACAAGCCCGAUCCUGUCUGAUCUUGGAAGCUAAACAGGGUCGGGCCUGCUUAGCACUUGGAUGGGAGACCACCUAGGAGGACCAGGAGCUGUAGGUG
This 119-nucleotide ribosomal RNA is filed under the name Pteropus alecto (black flying fox). Lineage: Eukaryota; Metazoa; Chordata; Mammalia; Chiroptera; Pteropodidae. The record is from RNAcentral.